UACGGAGGAUCCAAGCGUUAUCCGGAUUUAUUGGGUUUAAAGGGUGCGUAGGUGGGCUAAUAAGUCAGAGGUGAAAGCUAGCAGCUUAACUGUUAAAUUGCCUUUGAUACUGUUAUUCUUGAGUAUAGUUGGCGUUGGCGGAAUGUGACAUGUAGCGGUGAAAUGCGUAGAUAUGUCACAGAACACCGAUCGCGAAGGCAGCUAACGAAACUAUCACUGACACUGAUGCACGAAAGCGUGGGGAGCAAACAGG
This 253-nucleotide ribosomal RNA is filed under the name uncultured bacterium. RNAcentral's name for it is "partial 16S ribosomal RNA". It matches the Rfam family "Bacterial small subunit ribosomal RNA", at positions 524 to 776 of the family's 1533-position model. The record is from RNAcentral.